AUGGUACAUGGAGCAGCAGCAUCAGGCGGCGCCGCCUCCGCCGCCGCGCGGGCAAGCAGAGGCGCGCCGGGGACGUGGAGGCGGGUGCGGAGGGCGGCGCGGGAGGCGGCUGCGCACGCGCUGCUGCUCUGCUUCACCACCCUCCUCGCCUUCAAGCUCGACGGCGUUCUCCUCUCCCGCUCCUGGUGGGUGCUUUUCAUUCCUCUGUGGUUAUUCCAUGCUGCCGUUGUUCGGUAUAGAUUCUCAUUGCCUGCUCCUUCGUUGCUUCAAAAUUACCAGCGGAUUCCAUGCCAUUCCAUUGUUGCCACACCCUUGCUAGUUGCUUUUGAACUUCUUCUCUGUAUCUACCUUGAAGGCCAGGGUGAACCUUUUCUAGAUUUAAAGCUUGUUUUCCUUCCACUCCUGGCCUUGGAAAUUAUUAUGUUAGUUGACAAUUUCAGGAUGUUUGGUGCUCUAAUGCCUGGACAUGGGGAAACAAUCACUGAUGAAGAGAUAUGGGAUAGGCUUCCUCACUUCUGGGUUGCAAUUUCCAUGGUGUUUCUACUAGCAGCUACUUCACUCAUGCUUCUCAAGCUAUGCGGUGAUGCAGUUACUCUGGGGUGGUGGGAUUUAUUCAUUAACUUUGGGAUUUCCCAGUGCUUUGCUUUUCUUGUCUGCAUAAGGUGGUCCAAUCCAAUGGAUAUUGGUGGCCCUGUACUGAUAAUUCCUAUCGUAAUUUCUCAAGUUCUCCUAUGUAUGCGCUUAGAGGGUACUCCAUCUUAUGCACGGUUUAUUCCGGUUCGAGCUAUUUUCUCACCUAUAUUUUUGCUCCAAGUGGUUGCUGUACUGUUUGCCGUUUGGAGAUUCUUUGAAAGGCUUGUUAUUAAAUUGCAAGAUGGAGUUGUUAGUGAAGGAUAUAUUUCUGUCUCAUCAAAGAUUGAUGAGUUGUUUAUGAUGGUACAAUAUGGUUCAAGGCUCAUUACGUGGUCUAUUGACGAAGAUAGCAAAGAGGAACAAGCACAUUUAUGCUAUACAAAUAACAUUGGGUAUAGUACAUUUUGCAGUUAUCCCCCCGAGAUGGUAAAAGAGAUGCCGAAAAAAGUUCUUGUCAAAGAGAUACAGAGACUUCAGUUAGCAUUGGGAGAGCAAAGCAAAAUGGCAAUGCUUAGCCAACAGCAGUGUGAGAGGCUGAAGAAUGAACGAAUCUUAUGUCGAAUUUGCUUUGAGAGGUACAUCUGCAUUGUUCUGCUUCCAUGCCGCCAUCAUGUUCUAUGCGAACCUUGCUCUGACAAGUGCCAAUCAUGCCCGAUUUGUCGAGUGCCUAUUGAGACCAAGUUAUCUGUUAAUGAUGCAGUGAAUUCAGACGAUCCAUUAAGUGACAUUGUCUAG
This 1368-nucleotide ribosomal RNA is filed under the name Triticum aestivum (bread wheat). RNAcentral describes it as "partial small subunit ribosomal RNA". The record is from RNAcentral. Lineage: Eukaryota; Viridiplantae; Streptophyta; Magnoliopsida; Poales; Poaceae.